This 350-nucleotide long non-coding RNA is filed under the name Olea europaea subsp. europaea. Lineage: Eukaryota; Viridiplantae; Streptophyta; Magnoliopsida; Lamiales; Oleaceae. The record is from RNAcentral.
CAGUUAUUAGGGCAAGAAAUCAUAAACUCAGGAAAAUACAGACAAAACUACAACUCUGACAGUCGUUGUUAACUCACCUUAGUGUCUGUUUCCAUCUGAACAGGCUUAUCCACUGGCUCAGGAACACCAUUUUCAGCUCCAGGGGCUUCAGUUUUAGCAUCUUGCAUAUUUACAUCGGAAUCAUUAGCACUCGGUGGCACAGAAUCAACAGGAGCCUCGUUUGUUUCCAUCUUGGUCGGUUUCUCCGCCGACUCUUUCACAACUGGAACUUCCACUUCUUCCUCUUCCAAAAUCUGAUACAAAUAUCAAGAAACUUCCGUUACAUUCCAAAAUUUGGAUUUGCACGAUCA